This 1067-nucleotide unclassified non-coding RNA is filed under the name Limulus polyphemus (Atlantic horseshoe crab). RNAcentral's name for it is "uncharacterized LOC106476597, transcript variant X1". The record is from RNAcentral. Lineage: Eukaryota; Metazoa; Arthropoda; Merostomata; Xiphosura; Limulidae.
CUGUUAUUAGCGUAAAAAUAUCCAUAUUAUCUCUUGUAUAUUUACAUUGUCACCUACGCAAAAAUGAUCAACGAAGUGUGAAAACGGGACCAAAAUUGGAAGAGACAGCAGAAAUGUCAAGUGUGGUUUGAUCAACAAGUGGUCCCAAACUAAAGAAACAGGAGGAAACAAUGCCACCAAUACUCACAAUAAUAUCCACGAUAUGCAUGCCUGUAACAAUUUGAUGGCAGAUCUACUCAUUGGCGACAUGAUUUAUCCAAUAGGGUUGUGUAAAGAUUACAAAAAGAUGACGUGCAAACUAAUGACUGCUUUAUUUACUGAACAAGAAAUGAUCAAUAGUCAUGUGACGGGCAAAAGACUUGGGUUAAAAAGUGGAGAGACAAGGGCUGUUUUGAACCAGGAUAAAGUUAACUUAAUUGUCGAUUUAGUGAAAUCACAUUUUUCAUUUGCCACUGAACCUCAAAUCAGGAGAAAAAUGAGCCAAAAAUGCAAGGAUUUGAGAAUAGCAAAAAGCAAGCGAAUUAAAAGAAACAACACAACAGUGUUUCUCUAAAUUUAAGUUCUCUGUAAUUGUAUUUCACAAACAAUUAUUUUUAUGUUUGUACUUUUUUUUUCUCCAAGUAUGUAAGCUAUUUGAUAUUAUUAUUAUAUUAGACUUUAAAAUAUAUCGCUAAUAAAUAUGUAUUUAUUGGUAUAAGAAACUUAAAAAUCUUCUAAAAAAUCAAGAAGAUGCAAAUUGAGCAAAACAUUUGCUUUCUAACAAGAACAGAAACAAUACGUAUACAUCAAAAACAUAUUGAGUAUAUAUUUACUGUGUUACUUCAUUACUAGUCAAUAUAAGUGUUAUUUUAUUUUCUCUUAAUAAUUGGAAUGUAUUAGUUUAAUAAGAUAAAAGCUUAAAUAAUAUCAUUAAUUUGUUGUAUGAAACAAUUGUUCUGGAUAAAUAACUCCAAAAUUAUGAAACUUUAGAAGUUAGCCUUUUGUGAAGUCUUUUUUUUUUCAUUUUUAUAUCUGUAAUUUAUUCUUUUGAGGGGGGGUGGUGGAAUAAAACGUUUAAGAAAUCAAAU